GCCUUCGUGGUGCAGUGGUCAGCACGUUUGACGUGUAUUUGAGAGGUCCGUGGUUCUAUUCCUGGCGAGCGCA
This 73-nucleotide transfer RNA is filed under the name Stegodyphus mimosarum. It matches the Rfam family "tRNA". Rfam says of the family: Transfer RNA (tRNA) molecules are approximately 80 nucleotides in length. The record is from Rfam by way of RNAcentral. Lineage: Eukaryota; Metazoa; Arthropoda; Arachnida; Araneae; Eresidae.